GCCAGUGGUGAACUCCACAUACGCAUCCUUUGCUGAGGAUACGGUUAACGGAGCGAAAGCGACGUUCAACCUCAAAAGAAGCAGAGGGGGCUUAGUGGUGGGGUGACUGCGUACCUUUUGUAUAAUGGGUCAGCGACUUAUAUUCUGUAGCAAGGUUAACCGAAUAGGGGAGCCGGAGGGAAACCGAGUCUUAACCGGGCGUUAAGUUGCAGGGUAUAGACCCGAAACCCGGUGAUCUAGCCAUGGGCAGGUUGAAGGUUGGGUAACACUAACUGGAGGACCGAACCGACUAAUGUUGAAAAAUUAGCGGAUGACCUGUGGCUGGGGGUGAAAGGCCAAUCAAACCGGGAGAUAGCUGGUUCUCCCCGAAAGCUAUUUAGGUAGCGCCUCGUGAAUUCAUCUCCGGGGGUAGAGCACUGUUUCGGCUAGGGGGCCAUCCCGGCUUACCAACCCGAUGCAAACUGCGAAUACCGGAGAAUGUUAUCACGGGAGACACACGGCGGGUGCUAACGUCCGUCGUGAAGAGGGAAACAACCCAGACCGCCAGCUAAGGUCCCAAAGUCAUGGUUAAGUGGGAAACGAUGUGGGAAGGCCCAGACAGCCAGGAUGUUGGCUUAGAAGCAGCCAUCAUUUAAAGAAAGCGUAAUAGCUCACUGGUCGAGUCGGCCUGCGCGGAAGAUGUAACGGGGCUAAACCAUG
Molecule: ribosomal RNA, 699 nt
Filed under: Salmonella enterica subsp. enterica serovar Schwarzengrund
Lineage: Bacteria; Pseudomonadati; Pseudomonadota; Gammaproteobacteria; Enterobacterales; Enterobacteriaceae
Description: partial 23S ribosomal RNA
Rfam family: Bacterial large subunit ribosomal RNA (bases 79-699)
Source: RNAcentral